ACGGCCCGGCGCCGGGCGCGGUCGGAGACGGGCCGGCGCGGGGCAGAUCCGCGGCGGUGACGACCGGAGGCGACGGGCGAGGCCGGAGAUGGGCCGGCGCUGGGCGGCCGCCUCGAGUGAAGAACCGGUUCGAAGUGGCGCCGGCUUCCGCGAUUGGAAGCGACGCGGGUGACUGGAUGCGGCCGAGCGGCAGCAUGGGGUUUUCCCCUCCAGCUUGCCACGCGCGUGCAUCUCAUCCACCAGCGGCAGUGACACGCACGUCGCCUAUGCCCCUCCUCCUCGGUGUGGUCUCGUCUCUGUUACGCAGGUUAGAUGAUGACAGCAGCAACGCCCCAAAUGGACGCCUGGAGCAGGUCAUGUUCUUUAUUAGGUUUACAGGUUUCCUUAUUUGAUAUGGAUGGCCAUUCAUGUAGUUGUGCGAAUGGCACACACCUCCCUCCCAAUACAACAGCUAUUUAGCUCGCCUGGCGCUGUCUCAUUACGGAAUGCACUUCAUAUUCUCAUAUAUACUCAUUAUCAGUGGAAAUACUGUAAUAGUAUCAGACCGGGUGUGCCUUGAUUCAGGCAACCUUUGCUGGACUCGUGGUUCUGAGUUGCUCGAUGUGUGGUAUUUCUGUCUCCCUUCAUUACCAUCUAUUUUGGGUGGUUAAUUCCUCUUACGUCGAGCUAGAUGAGGUGUCCAUGCCUGCGGCCUCGCCUUCUCCAACUUAGCUGCAGAUUUGGGGAGGCGCCGGGCGCGGCCGAAGAUGGGCCGGCGCGGGGCGGAUCCGCUCCGGCGACGACCAGAGGCGAAGGGGCGCGGCCAGAGACGGGCCAGCCGGAGGUGGAGGAGCAGCGAGGGGCAGCGCUGGGGCGGUGGUGGAGGAGCAGUGACGAGCGCGCCGGCCAUGGCGCCGCUCGCCAGAGCACAUCAGCAUCUCGUCACUCGUCAAUAUUACUUCCCCAUGUGAUGACAUGCCCUCGCUCGCUGAUCUCGAGCUUCAGCCAUCUCAUGGAGGACGCCGUCUGGUAGAUGUCCUGCGCAAGCCCGCUAUGCCGCCUCCAGCGCUAGGAGAUGAGGCGGCUCAGAGGUCCGGCCUCCUCAUAUCCCUCGUCACCAUCCGCGCACUCGUGGCGUCGUACAUCGCCCACCAGAAGGACUGCACGCUCGUCGACUUUGUGCGUGGCGUCAUCCUCGUCAAACACAAUGCCCGCAACCUGCUACUGUCGCCGAGGUUUCUUCUUAUGUUUCUUGGCAGGUCGAGGCUCAGAUUUUUUUUCCUAUGGCUUUGAAUAUCUCAGUCAUCGGGUGUUCAUUUGGGCUUAUUGGCUGUACUCAGUUUGGUUGGUUCCCUUUUGUUUUUGCUGCUGAGAGUGUAUGUUUCAGAGUGGUGUGGACGGGUUGAGCAGCGAUAGAGGUUUUUUUAGUCCUAGGUCAGCACUCAGAUUCUUGAAUUUUCUUUUCAUAAUACUGCAUGAUUUUAAUACUUCAAGGACAUAUGAAUAGUAUGGUUUCUCUCUCUCUCCUAGAUUUGUUACUACCGAGAACGCUUUUGAUUGCAUUGUCAUUUGUUUUAUUGAGCUCUGAAUUAAAAUAAUACUGUAUUAACCUAUCCGUUGCAUAGCAGUAGCCCACCCUUUGUCCAUACCUUGUAUAAAGGUUGGUUCUGUGUUUUUUUUGUGUUCAUGCCAACAUUUUGCACGCCGUAGCACCUUGGACAAAGUAGUUAUUGUCUGGUUACCUUUA
Lolium perenne is the source of this 1726-nucleotide long non-coding RNA. RefSeq lists it as uncharacterized. NCBI's taxonomy places the organism in Eukaryota, Viridiplantae, Streptophyta, Magnoliopsida, Poales, Poaceae. The record is from RefSeq and is a predicted model, not a curated record.